Molecule: unclassified non-coding RNA, 391 nt
Filed under: soil metagenome
Description: partial contains 5.8S ribosomal RNA, internal transcribed spacer 2, and large subunit ribosomal RNA
Rfam family: 5.8S ribosomal RNA (bases 1-122)
Source: RNAcentral
GAUGAAGAACGUAGCGAAAUGCGAUACUUGGUGUGAAUUGCAGAAUCCCGUGAACCAUCGAGUCUUUGAACGCAAGUUGCGCCCGAAGCCAUUAGGCCGAGGGCACGCCUGCCUGGGCGUCACACGUCGUUGCCCCCCCAUCUACUCCUUCGGGAUUGCGGGGGGCGGAUGAUGGCCUCCCGUGCGCCUCGCCGCGCGGUUGGCAUAAAUGCCAAGUCCUCGGCGACGCACGCCACGACAAUCGGUGGUUGCGAAACCUCGGUUGCCCGUCGUGUGCGGUCAUCGCGCAUCGAGGGCUCGAAAAAAUUGCCGGGUUCCGGCUCGGCUUUCAACGCGACCCCAGGUCAGGCGGGGUUACCCGCUGAAUUUAAGCAUAUCAAUAAGCGGAGGA